This 212-nucleotide long non-coding RNA is filed under the name Mustela putorius furo (domestic ferret). RNAcentral's name for it is "lncRNA (ENSMPUG00000028396.1)". Lineage: Eukaryota; Metazoa; Chordata; Mammalia; Carnivora; Mustelidae. The record is from RNAcentral.
GCGGGAUGCUGAUUAUAGGGCUGGGUCCCGCAGCCCUGGAUGUGGGUGCAAGAAGCUGUGUACGCACUUGACUGUCAAGAAGUCACAGGUAGGCAGAGAGAGAGAAGGAAGCAGGCUCCCCGCCGAGCAGAGAGCCCGAUGUGGGGCUCGAUCCCAGGACCCUGGAACCAUGACCUGAGCCGAAGGCAGAGGCCUCAACCCACUGAGCCACC